AUUGAACGCUGGCGGCAGGCCUAACACAUGCAAGUCGAACGGUAACAGAAAGCAGCUUGCUGCUUUGCUGACGAGUGGCGGACGGGUGAGUAAUGUCUGGGAAACUGCCUGAUGGAGGGGGAUAACUACUGGAAACGGUAGCUAAUACCGCAUAACGUCGCAAGACCAAAGAGGGGGACCUUCGGGCCUCUUGCCAUCGGAUGUGCCCAGAUGGGAUUAGCUAGUAGGUGGGGUAAAGGCUCACCUAGGCGACGAUCCCUAGCUGGUCUGAGAGGAUGACCAGCCACACUGGAACUGAGACACGGUCCAGACUCCUACGGGAGGCAGCAGUGGGGAAUAUUGCACAAUGGGCGCAAGCCUGAUGCAGCCAUGCCGCGUGUAUGAAGAAGGCCUUCGGGUUGUAAAGUACUUUCAGCGGUGAGGAAGGGAGUAAAGUUAAUACCUUUGCUCAUUGACGUUACCCGCAGAAGAAGCACCGGCUAACUCCGUG
This 490-nucleotide ribosomal RNA is filed under the name uncultured bacterium. RNAcentral describes it as "partial 16S ribosomal RNA". It matches the Rfam family "Bacterial small subunit ribosomal RNA", at positions 30 to 507 of the family's 1533-position model. The record is from RNAcentral.